GCGAACAGUCCACUUUGUAAAUGUUUAGGAUGGUUGAAAUAAGCCGAGGGUAACACAGAGACAUCUGAACUUGAAGGUUAUUGGAUCAGAACAACCGAGUGAGACUUUAGCAAACCGAUCAGUGAGUUGAAAGAAGUUUUCUUCAGAACCACAGACCUUGGCGAAAUGUUGAUUGAGCUUUUGCGGACCAGAUAGCCUUGGAGUGGCGGGGAAAAAAAGAAGAAGUGAAGGACUUGUCUGCACUGACAGAGGAAGGCCCAGGGAGAAGUGAGGAGAUGGAAUUGGAUUUGAAGCUCUGAGGCAGGAUAUUAUCCAGGAAGUGUUGACGAACAUACAGGUGUUUUUCUGCAAGUGUGCUGCAGUGUUUCAAUGCUUCCUUCUUGGUGUCUGUCCAGUAACACCAGUUUUUUAUUAGUGCUUUUUUAUAGUAAACAUCAAAUAAAGUUACAGAUAUUUCUCUGGGUGUUUUGUUGAAACACUUGGGUUCUUUUUAACCUCUUUGAGGACCUUGUGCUCAUCUCUAUAAUGUCUGCGGUGAAAAUUAUUCCGAUCGAGGUAUGCUUCACGCCGAGCAGAGUCCAUCAGUACAGAUUUUGUACCUCAGUUUAUAAAAACAGAGGGUUGAGGCGCUCCCCUAUAGCCUGCACUUCCAAUCCAAUCUCAUUAAUUUGUGGACCAGACUACAAGUAGAUUUUGUUGUUGUUAGCACAAAGAUUCACAUAGUGAGUUUUUUUCCCCCUACACUGGCUCUGAAUCAUCGAUGUGUUGGUAGCUUGGCCAGAUUGUUUGGAUGAAGAUCAGACCGCAUUUUGUGAAUAAUCAG
Molecule: long non-coding RNA, 823 nt
Organism: Oreochromis niloticus (Nile tilapia)
Lineage: Eukaryota; Metazoa; Chordata; Actinopteri; Cichliformes; Cichlidae
Exons: 4
Source: RefSeq, a predicted model, not a curated record